This is a long non-coding RNA of Acanthopagrus latus (yellowfin seabream), 391 nucleotides long. RefSeq lists it as uncharacterized. The record is from RefSeq and is a predicted model, not a curated record. The transcript is spliced from 3 exons. Lineage: Eukaryota; Metazoa; Chordata; Actinopteri; Spariformes; Sparidae.
AGGAUCAGCAGCCAGCAAAGCCCAAACAAGGAAGUGCAAAGGCAAAUGCUCAAACAGGAUCCAGGUCACCACACAGCAUCUGAAGCCUCGUGUCUGAGAUCCUGAAGCUGUUGGCAAUAAAUCCUACACACUGGUCCUUUAAGGUAAAAUUUAGCUGGUCAAUCUUUUAAACAGGCCUAGUGCAACAGUUGUCAUGUGAGACGCAGCUGUUGGCAUCACGCAGCAUGAACACGACUACUUUACAUCCUUUGUGCAACUCCAACAUGCAGUUCAACUUAUGCUCAUACAUGAAUGCUCUUUUGUUUUUGUUCUUUCAUAUAUAUGUUUAUUGCUUUUAAGUACAGGAAUAUGAAAUGAAAAACAAACAAAUAAAGAGUAAAAUCUCAAUCUC